RNAcentral lists this ribosomal RNA (384 nucleotides) under uncultured bacterium. RNAcentral describes it as "bacterial SSU rRNA". It matches the Rfam family "Bacterial small subunit ribosomal RNA", at positions 30 to 416 of the family's 1533-position model. The record is from RNAcentral.
AUUGAACGCUGGCGGCAUGCCUUACACAUGCAAGUCGAACGGUAACGGGCCUUCGGGUGCCGACGAGUGGCGAACGGGUGAGUAAUGCAUCGGAACGUACCUUUCAGUGGGGGAUAACGUAGCGAAAGUUACGCUAAUACCGCAUAUUCUGUGAGCAGGAAAGCAGGGGAUCGCAAGACCUUGCGCUGAUUGAGCGGCCGAUGUCAGAUUAGCUAGUUGGUGAGGUAAAGGCUCACCAAGGCGACGAUCUGUAGCGGGUCUGAGAGGAUGAUCCGCCACACUGGAACUGAGACACGGUCCAGACUCCUACGGGAGGCAGCGGUGGGGAAUUUUGGACAAUGGGGGCAACCCUGAUCCAGCCAUGCCGCGUGAGUGAAGAAGGCC